Molecule: long non-coding RNA, 481 nt
Organism: Oncorhynchus keta (chum salmon)
Lineage: Eukaryota; Metazoa; Chordata; Actinopteri; Salmoniformes; Salmonidae
Exons: 5
Source: RefSeq, a predicted model, not a curated record
GAUGUAGUUAAUGGAGAUGGAGGUGUGUUCUAGUGGGUCUGGGCAGGUGUGAUGUAGUUAAUGGAGAUGGAGGUGUGUUCUAGUGGGUCUGGGCAGGUGUGAUGUAGUUAAUGGAGAUGGAGGUGUGUUCUAGUGGGUCUGGGCAGGUGUGAUGUAGUUAAUGGAGAUGGAGGUGUGUUCUAGUGGGUCUGGGCAGGUGUGAUGUAGUUAAUGGAGAUGGAGGUGUGUUCUAGUGGGUCUGGGCAGGUGUGAUGUAGUUAAUGGAGAUGGAGGUGUGUUCUAGUGGGUCUGGGCAGGUGUGAUGUAGUUAAUGGAGAUGGAGGUGUGUUCUAGUGGGUCUGGGCAGGUGUGAUGUAGUUAAUGGAGAUGGAGGUGUGUUCUAGUGGGUCUGUGCAGGUGUGAUGUGUUAAUGGAGAUGGAGGUGUGUUCUAGUGGGUCUGUGCAGGUGUGAUGUGUUAAUGGAGAUGGAGGUGUGUUCUAG